CCUUUUUAUCAAAACCAUGUCUUUUUGAAUUUUUUAAAAAGUCUGACCUGCCCAAUGAAUUUUUAAUGGCCGCAGUAUUUUGACUGUGCAAAGGUAGCAUAAUCAUUAGUUUUUUAAUUGAAGGCUGGAAUGAAUGGUUGGACGAGAUAUUAACUGUUUCAUAAAAAUUUAUAAUAAAAUUUUAUUUUUUAGUCAAAAAGCUAAAAUAAAUUUAAAAGACGAGAAGACCCUAUAAAUCUUUAUAUUUUUUAUAUUUAAUUUAUUUAGAUUAAUUUAAUUUUUAUAUUUUAAAAUAUUUUAUUGGGGUGAUAUUAAAAUUUAAAAAACUUUUAAUUUUUUAAAAACAUUAAUUUAUGAAUUUUUGAUCCAUUAAUAAUGAUUAAAAAAUUAAGUUACUUUAGGGAUAACAGCGUAAUUUUUUUGGAGAGUUCAUAUCGAUAAAAAAGAUUGCGACCUCGAUGUUGGAUUAAGA
RNAcentral lists this ribosomal RNA (472 nucleotides) under Liriomyza trifolii (celery leafminer). Its description in RNAcentral is "partial 16S ribosomal RNA". Lineage: Eukaryota; Metazoa; Arthropoda; Insecta; Diptera; Agromyzidae. The record is from RNAcentral.